UUGCGCUUUGCUGGAGCCGCAAUGCUGUCCAUGUUUGCUGGAGCACAGUGUGUUCACCAGUACUACAAGCCCCUUUCUGUGAGUUGGUGAUUUGGAUGUGUAUGUGCAAGAAGAAAAACAAUCGCAAGUGUCACCUGUGCUCGGCCAGCAGCGGGUUCACAUCACAGAAUGAAAGCAGGAACUGACGUGACAGCAUGAAGUCUCUAGGUGUAUUGGAUGUUCUGAAAAUAAACUAGCUACAUGGUCAUGUUUCCA
Dermacentor andersoni is the source of this 255-nucleotide non-coding RNA. NCBI's taxonomy places the organism in Eukaryota, Metazoa, Arthropoda, Arachnida, Ixodida, Ixodidae. The record is from RefSeq and is a predicted model, not a curated record.